Molecule: transfer RNA, 74 nt
Filed under: Porphyromonadaceae bacterium
Lineage: Bacteria; Pseudomonadati; Bacteroidota; Bacteroidia; Bacteroidales; Porphyromonadaceae
Description: tRNA-Arg
Rfam family: tRNA
About the family: Transfer RNA (tRNA) molecules are approximately 80 nucleotides in length.
Source: RNAcentral
GGUCCGGUAGCUCAACUGGAUAGAGCAACAGCCUUCUAAGCUGUGGGUUCCGGGUUCGAGUCCCGGCCGGAUCA